AUUGAACGCUGGCGGCAUGCCUUACACAUGCAAGUCGAACGGCAGCAUGGAGAGCUUGCUCUCUGAUGGCGAGUGGCGAACGGGUGAGUAAAGCAUCGGAACGUACCGUGUAGUGGGGGAUAACGUAGCGAAAGUUACGCUAAUACCGCAUACGCACUGAGGUGGAAAGCAGGGGAUCGCAAGACCUUGCGCUAUACGAGCGGCCGAUGUCAGAUUAGCUAGUUGGUAGGGUAAAGGCCUACCAAGGCGACGAUCUGUAGCGGGUCUGAGAGGAUAAUCCGCCACAGUGGGACUGAGACACGGCCCAGACUCCUACGGGAGGCAGCAGUGGGGAAUUUUGGACAAUGGGGGCAACCCUGAUCCAGCCAUGCCGCGUGAGUGAAGAAGGCCUUCGGGUUGUAAAGCUCUUUCGGCCGGGAAGAAAUCGCACAGGCUAAUACUCUGUGUGGAUGACGGUACCGGCAUAAGAAGCACCGGCUAACUACGUGCCAGCAGCCGCCGUAA
RNAcentral lists this ribosomal RNA (504 nucleotides) under uncultured bacterium. RNAcentral describes it as "partial 16S ribosomal RNA". It matches the Rfam family "Bacterial small subunit ribosomal RNA", at positions 30 to 523 of the family's 1533-position model. The record is from RNAcentral.